AGAUUCACCAGAGAGUCCACACAGGAGAGAGGCCAUACAGCUGCUCAGAGUGUGACAAGAGAUACACUUUGAAGAGUCACCUUACAAGACACCAGCAGAGACACACAGGAGAGAAACCUCACUACUGCGCAGAGUGCGGCAAGAGCUUCAAGUGUUUAAUGGACCUGAGAUGCCACGUUCAGCGCAAACAUAGUGGGACACCCUACCACUGCACCCUCUGUGCGCAGCUUCAGCUCCCCUCAGCAUCUGAAGUACCACCAGAUGACACACACGGGAGAGAAACCAUUCAUAUGCACCACCGACUGCGGGAAUUCCCUCAGGCCGUAGUUUUGACGUACCACAGGAGGAUUCACACCGGAGAGAAACCUCACAGCUGUGAUUAGUGUGACGAGCAGUCUGCAAUCACACCAGCGGACACAUACAGAAGAGAAGCCUUACAGCUGUGAUGAAUGUGGGAAGAGAUUCACUAAUUCGGGAACUCUAGUUUCGCACAAGAGAAUGCACACCUGAGAGAAACCUUACCACACACAGGAGUGAGGCCUAUAAUGGCUGUGCACAAGAUAACACACACUGAUAGAUAUGCCUGGAUCAAAUAUGUAAUUUUGUAAAUGAUGGAACACAUUUUAUAGAAUGAGCAUCAUGGACACACAGUAACAACUGUGAAACAUGAAACACUUCUAGGUUGUCCUUGACAAUUCCCACAACUGAAACCACACAGGCUUUCACUCAGUGUCGUGGAUUUGACCUAAACCCAUAGUUUUUAAUUUAGGCUAAAACGUGACUCUUUGUCCCUCAGCAUCCAGAGAGCAGCAAGGAUUACUCUCCCCUCCCCUCUACUCACUCUACACCAAUGACUGCACCUCAUACAACAGCCUCUGUCAAACUACUCUGGUUUCCAUUGUUACAUCACUCUGGUCAGUCUCAUCACCGACGGCCAUUAAAUCCACGUCAUGUGGAGAGGUCGAUCCGGUUAGUUUUUCACUAAAGCCACCGUUGUGUUUUUUUUUCUACUCUGGUUUCCAUUGUUACAUCACUCUGGUCAGUCUCAUCACCGACGGCCAUUAAAUCCACGUCAUGUGGAGAGGUCGACCGGUUAGUUUUUUCACUAAAGCCACCGUUGUGUUUUUUUUUUUUUUUUCUACUCUGGUUUCCAUUGUUACAUCACUCUGGUCAGUCUCAUCACCGACGGCCAUUAAAUCCACGUCAUGUGGAGAGGUCGACCGGUUAGUUUUUUCACUAAAGCCACCGUUGCUUCUACGUUUGCAAUGCCUGCUGUUUGGGGUUUUCGGCUUGGUUUCUGUACCAAGGACAUUGUGACUUCUGCUGAUGUAAAAAGGGCUUUUAUAAAGUACACUGAGGGUGCAGCUACAUCCUGUCUUCCAGACACUGAGGGUGCAGAUACAUCCUGUCUUCCAGACACUGAGGGUGCAGCUCCAUCCUGUCUUCCAGACACUGAGGGUGCAGCUACAUCCUGUCUUCCAGCUGAUUGGAGGAGAACUGAAAUAUUACUUUUGUAUAGCAACAGCAAUAUGACCUGGAGACAGAAACUCCACCUGCUCUGAGCUAAUCUUGUUGUUCCUGCUUGAUAUCAAUAUACCCUUUUAUGCUUUCACACUUCUGCUGACUGCUAUGUAGACAAAGAGCUUUUGAUUAAACCUGAGACCCAACUCUGUUCAGGGGCUCUUAUCGCCGCACCACUGAGUGAUUGUUAACCCCUCAAGAAUUGUCAUUCUUAUAAUAAACGUUGUUUUAAGAAA
This is a long non-coding RNA of Oncorhynchus nerka (sockeye salmon), 1757 nucleotides long. RefSeq lists it as uncharacterized. The record is from RefSeq and is a predicted model, not a curated record. Lineage: Eukaryota; Metazoa; Chordata; Actinopteri; Salmoniformes; Salmonidae. The transcript is spliced from 2 exons.